Long non-coding RNA from Cydia splendana, 2648 nucleotides. RefSeq lists it as uncharacterized. NCBI's taxonomy places the organism in Eukaryota, Metazoa, Arthropoda, Insecta, Lepidoptera, Tortricidae. The transcript has 2 exons. The record is from RefSeq and is a predicted model, not a curated record.
CAAAAUGGCUGCGCCACUCAACCGGCUUGUUAUGUCUGUCCGUCUUGCGGCCACCGCCACUUACCGUAGAGACCUCGAGGAGGACAAUGCCACUCGAAGGGAUAAUUAAGUGUAAAUUAAAAAAGUUCUUAAAAUAAUGAUAACACGGAUAAAUUCUAUAUCUGGUUUAAUUUAUUGCCCGUAUUGGAUUUACAUACUGUAAAUUGUUUGUCAUUGAAUCCCACAAGGUGGUUUCAAACACCUAAUGUUCUUAUUAUUUUUGUUCAAUCUAAUUCUCCCAAGACCCAAGAAGUUUGGUACUGCUCUGGCACAAACUAGUACGUACUAACUAAUAUAAUAUAUACCGAUAUUUACAAUAUCGGUUAAGAAUCGUCCUAGCUAGAAGAGAAGUGAUAUUUGCCACUUUUGAGUACCUGUAGAUCUGAGAUCUGUCUUUGUCUUGGAACGCUCAAUAUUUUGUUUCUCAAUUUUCCAUACGAUUCUCCAUUUUCUAUACUAUAAAUACAGACCUAAAGUCCAAACAAUCCAAACAUACUUUAAGCGUCUCUAAAUCUUCGUAAGUCUUUUAAUUUUAAGCACUUCAGACACUAUUGCAACCCCAAUAAAGCCGUUUCAAAGUCGCUCCAAAGCCUACUCGACCUGUAAUAUAUUCGACCCUAAAUCUCUUUAACGAAGCUUCGGCCAACUGUUUCAUGAUUCACGUAAAUGUUUUUUACCUUGGACCAAAUGAGACUGCGAAUCCAGUAAGGGUUGUGUGAAAUUGGAUUCAUUAUUGAUUCAAAAAGGUCAACCCGACCGCGGUCGGCGGUGGAUGUGGAUGGCACUCGUAGGGCCGAAACGGGAGUUUUAGUGCAUUCACGUUUGCGGUUUUGGUCAUCGAUUUGAUAUAAUAAUUGUUCUGGAAUAAACCAAUGAGUGAUGAAAUUAUAGGUCUCCUUACAUCAGGCAGUUGGCAAAGAAGCUCUGCGGUGAUUUUUUUAGCAGGGCUGUGAUCCACGCUCCGGGUCGUGUCUGGUGCAGGGGAUUUUAUUGCCUAUACAACACGGAAACACUGAUAAUGGGAACUUUUGGAUUGAAUGCGAUCUGAUGCGGUCCUUUUUAAAUGACCGUGUUUUGGAAUAACCAACAUAAAGGAAAAUGACGAAGCCUGUUGCAAGUAGCUUCAUUAUUUGUGCGCAAUGACGACGCUUGUUGCUGAUUUAUGGUUGUGCCCUCCUGACGCAGCCUACGUUGCGGAUAUGAAUUUGUCAAUUCUUUAUGUUGCUUACUUUUAUUUUGUAGAAGGUCGUAUAUAUAAAUAAAUAAAUAUUAUAGGACAAGUCCGUAGCUGGCCAUAACAAAUUCUUACCUACCGCCUCAGUUGAGCGGUAGACCUGUACAUGCAAAAUACCUUUGUCCAUUAUGCUUAUCUUGCUAAUUCGCCUAAAUACAGUGUGUAAAUCUAAUACGAGCGAAAAAUUAAACCAGAUAUACUAUAAUAGAAUUUAUCCGUGUAAUCAUUAAUUAAAAAGUUUUUUUAAGUUACACUUAAAUAUGACCCCGUAAUUAUUUUUUGAAAAUUUAAGGAGCAGUAAGUAAUGUACUGCAAACAUUACGAGACAUGACAUGACAUGACAUUACGAGAUAUUUAAGCUUUUUAUAGCAACUGCCAACAAACGUUGAGAGUUACUUUAAAAAGCUCGUAUUUUGUAACUUACGUGUUGCUUUACAUUGCGGGCUGAAUUAUUUUGUAUGGUUAAUUAUUUUUAUUGUUUUUUAAGCAAAAUUUAACUCAUUAUAUUUCUUAGGUCCUAUACUAACCAUCGUUUAAAUAUUCGCCAGUAUUAAAUUUACACACAGUAGGUACCUAUAUUUUCCAUGCAGUGUACAAAAUGCCAUUUCAAUAAAAUUGUGAAUGUUCUGGAUGUGAUUUAAAAUUUUCCACUUCAUUAAUUGCUAAUUACUUACUACCUAGAAUUAGUAGGUGUUUGUUUGCGCCUACACUUACCUUUGACCAUUUUAUAUCACGACUUCACGAGUGAUUGAUCCGACUGAUGACUGGACUUAAUCAUAAAUAUUAAAUUCGGUUUUAAUUUUCUCUCAAUAUCUGAAAUAUUUUCUUGAAUUUAAAAUGGCUUUCCGCGACCCAAUUUCCGUAACAAAUAACCCGAUAUCUAUUUCUCACAUCUGCGACUGUCCUAUCACCUCGUGAACCCUAAAAUGUACGCCAAACUUGUUUCUGAUUCGCAGUUUAAGAGGCGCGUAUGGGGCUCCCUAUUAUGGGUCCUGGGGGUCCAGUGGUUUCCUUAAAUAGGGCCGUCUUGGGCCUUCCGAAAAAAUACGAUUUCCUGUCCUUUCUGCAAACGGGCCACGAGCGGGAAGCGGAUCAGGUUUUGGUAGUUUUUCAAAAUGGCGGAGCCUAGGGGGUUCGUACGUUCUACAGCUCACAGAGUCACUAGUACCACGAAUGCAUAACUAAUGGUUGUAUGUGAGUAAAUAUUUUUUAUUGUGCACCAUAAAGUUACAAGAAGUUUCUAUACAGAAGACGAAAUACAAGUUUAAGAUAACAACAGGCAAUAGAUUGUAUAUACCUAUUACGUUGCUGUAUUUUCAUCAAGAUUAAUCGGUUGAUAGUUCAAAAUCAAGCAAGAAAUAAAUUUCCUUCAACA